Molecule: ribosomal RNA, 468 nt
Filed under: uncultured bacterium
Lineage: Bacteria
Description: partial 16S ribosomal RNA
Rfam family: Bacterial small subunit ribosomal RNA
Source: RNAcentral
GACGAACGCUGGCGGCGUGCUUAAUACAUGCAAGUCGAACGGAAAGGCCCUGCUCUUGCUGCGUGCUCGUGAGCCGCACAGGUGUGUAACACGCGUGUAACCUGCCCCUGUCUGUGGGAUAUCAUCAGGAAAAUCGGGCUAUUACAGCAUAGAAGCUCCUGCAGCACGGUGGUGGUUGGAGAGUUUCGGCGGUUGGGGAUGGACUCGCGGCUUAUCAGCUUGUUGGUGAGGUAGUUGCUUACCAAGGCUUCGACGGGUAGCCGGCCUGAGAGCGUGACCGGCCACAUUGGGACUGAGAUACGGCCCAGACUCCAACGGGACGCAGCAGUGGGGAAUAUUGCAGAAUGGGCGGGAGCGUGAGACAGCAGCGCCGCGUGCGGGAUGACGGCCUUCGGGUUGAAAACCGCUGUCGCCGGUGACGAAGCGUUAGUGACGGUAAUGGGUAAGGAAGCACCGGCUAACUACGUG